RNAcentral lists this ribosomal RNA (1473 nucleotides) under metagenome. Its description in RNAcentral is "bacterial SSU rRNA". It matches the Rfam family "Bacterial small subunit ribosomal RNA". The record is from RNAcentral.
AGAGUUUGAUCCUGGCUCAGGACGAACGCUGGCGGCGUGCUUAACACAUGCAAGUCGAACGGAUCCAAUAGCAAUAUUGGGUUAGUGGCGAACGGGUGAGUAACACGUGACCAAUCUGCCCCGGACUGGGGAAUAACGUCGGGAAACUGACGCUAAUACCGCAUAUUGAGACGGGUUCGCAUGGAACUGUCUUGAAAGAUUUAUCGGUCCGGGAUGAGGUCGCGCCCCAUUAGCUUGUUGGCGGGGUAAUGGCCCACCAAGGCGACGAUGGGUAGCUGGUCUGAGAGGAUGAUCAGCCACACUGGGACUGAGAUACGGCCCAGACUCCUAUGGGAGGCAGCAGUGAGGAAUAUUGCGCAAUGGGCGAAAGCCUGACGCAGCAACGCCGCGUGGAGGAUGAAGGUGCUUUGCAUUGUAAACUCCUGUAGGGGGGGACGAAUAUCAUAGCUUCUGCUAUGAAUGACGGUACCCCCAAAGUAAGCACCGGCUAACUCCGUGCCAGCAGCCGCGGUAAUACGGAGGGUGCAAGCGUUGUCCGGAUUUAUUGGGUGUAAAGGGCGUGUAGGCGGAGUGAUGUGUCGAGAGUGAAAUCGUGCGGCUUAACCGUAUCAAUUGCUCUCGAAACUGUCACCCUUGAGUACGAGAGGGGCAGAUGGAAUUCCAGGUGUAGCGGUGGAAUGCGUAGAUAUCUGGAAGAACACCGGUGGCGAAGGCGGUCUGCUGGCUCGAUACUGACGCUGAGGCGCGAAAGUGUGGGGAGCAAACAGGAUUAGAUACCCUGGUAGUCCACACCGUAAACGAUGGUCACUAGUUGUCGGGGGAUUCGACCCCUUCGGCGACGACGCUAACGCAUUAAGUGACCCACCUGGGGAGUACGAUCGCAAGGUUGAAACUCAAAGGAAUUGACGGGGGCCCGCACAAGCGGUGGAGCAUGUGGUUUAAUUCGAUGCAACGCGAAGAACCUUACCUGGGCUCGAAGUGUAGUGUAAACCCAUGAAAGUGGGCUAGUCCUUCGGGACACGCUAUAUAGGUGCUGCAUGGCUGUCGUCAGCUCGUGUCGUGAGAUGUUAGGUUAAGUCCUGCAACGAGCGCAACCCUUGUCUUUAGUUGCCAUCAGGUAAUGCUGGGAACUCUAAAGAGACUGCCGACGUUAAGUCGGAGGAAGGUGGGGAUGACGUCAAGUCCUCAUGGUCCUUACGUCCAGGGCUACACACGUGCUACAAUGGCCGGUACAAAGCGUCGCAAGACCGCAAGGUGGAGCAAAUCGCAAAAAACCGGUCUCAGUCCAGAUUGCACUCUGCAACUCGAGUGCAUGAAGUUGGAAUCGCUAGUAAACGCGAAUCAGCAGGUCGCGUUGAAUACGUUCCCGGGCCUUGUACACACCGCCCGUCACACCAUGGGAGUCGGUAGGACCCAAAGGGCUUGUGCCAACCGUAAGGGGGUAGAGUCUUAAGGUCAGCCCGACGACUGGGG